This 367-nucleotide ribosomal RNA is filed under the name uncultured eukaryote. RNAcentral's name for it is "partial 18S ribosomal RNA". It matches the Rfam family "Eukaryotic small subunit ribosomal RNA", at positions 592 to 975 of the family's 1831-position model. The record is from RNAcentral.
CAAUAGCGUAUAUUAAAGUUGUUGCAGUUAAAAAGCUCGUAGUUGAAUUUCUGUCAGGAGUGACCGGGCCUUUGGAUGAACUUCCAUUGUUUUUGCUCUGUUUGUCAUCUCUAGACAUCCUAAAUUACAUUUCUUGUAAUUUUCUUUUACUGUUAGCAAAAUAGAGUGUUCCAAGCAAAGCGUAGUUUUGAAUACAUUAGAAUGGAAUAAUAAGAUAGGACUUUGGUGCUAUUUUGUUGGUUUGCACACCAAGGUAAUGAUUAAUAGGGACAGUUGGGGGUAUUCGUAUUUAAUUGUCAGAGGUGAAAUUCUUGGAUUUAUGAAAGACGAACUACUGCGAAAGCAUUUACCAAGGAUGUUUNCAUUA